GCUGUGGCGCAGUUUGGUAGCGCACCUGCUUUGGGAGCAGGGGGCCGCGGGUUCAAAUCCCGCCAGC
Molecule: transfer RNA, 67 nt
Filed under: Actinomyces naeslundii
Lineage: Bacteria; Bacillati; Actinomycetota; Actinomycetes; Actinomycetales; Actinomycetaceae
Also listed under: 2 other names
Rfam family: tRNA
About the family: Transfer RNA (tRNA) molecules are approximately 80 nucleotides in length. Their secondary structure includes four short double-helical elements and three loops (D, anti-codon, and T loops).
Source: RNAcentral